Molecule: ribosomal RNA, 468 nt
Filed under: uncultured bacterium
Lineage: Bacteria
Description: partial 16S ribosomal RNA
Rfam family: Bacterial small subunit ribosomal RNA
Source: RNAcentral
GACGAACGCUGGCGGCGUGCUUAACACAUGCAAGUCGAACGGAAAGGCCCUGCUUUUGUGGGGGGCUCGAGUGGCGAACGGGUGAGUAACACGUGAGUAACCUGCCCUUGACUUUGGGAUAACUUCAGGAAACUGGGGCUAAUACCGGAUAGUAGCGCCUGCUGCAUGGUGGGGGUUGGAAAGUUUCGGCGGUUGGGGAUGGACUCGCGGCUUAUCAGCUUGUUGGUGGGGUAGUGGCUUACGAAGGCUUUGACGGGUAGCCGGCCUGAGAGGGUGACCGGCGACACUGGGACUGAGAUACGGCCCAGACUCCGACGGGAGGAAGCAGUGGGGAAUAUUGCACAAUGGGCGGAAGCCUGAUGCAGCAACGCCGCGUGCGGGAUGACGGCCUUCGGGUUGUAAACCGCUUUCGCCUGUGACGAAGCGUGAGUGACGGUAAUGGGUAAAGAAGCACCGGCUAACUACGUG